Molecule: unclassified non-coding RNA, 405 nt
Filed under: soil metagenome
Description: partial contains 5.8S ribosomal RNA, internal transcribed spacer 2, and large subunit ribosomal RNA
Rfam family: 5.8S ribosomal RNA (bases 1-121)
Source: RNAcentral
GAUGAAGAACGUAGCGAAAUGCGAUAAGUAAUGUGAAUUGCAGAAUUCAGUGAAUCAUCGAAUCUUUGAACGCACCUUGCGCCCUUUGGCCAUUCCGAAGGGCAUGCCUGUUUGAGUAUCAUGAACACCUCAACUCUUUAUGGUUUUCCAUGAUGAGCUUGGACUCUGGGGGUUUUGCUGGCUCACAGUCGGCUCCUCUAAAAUGAAUCAGCUUACCAGUGUUUGGUGGGUAUCAUGGGUGUGAUAACUAUCUACGCUUGUGGUUCUUCCACCAGGUAACCUUCAGCAGUGGAGGUUCGCUGGAGCUCAUAGAUGUCUCUCCUCAGUGAGGACAGCCCUUUGAAUGUUUGAUCUCAAAUCAGGUAGGACUACCCGCUGAACUUAAGCAUAUCAAUAAGCGGAGGA